RNAcentral lists this long non-coding RNA (1893 nucleotides) under Zea mays. RNAcentral describes it as "long non-coding RNA (ZMAY_LNC003329)". The record is from RNAcentral. Lineage: Eukaryota; Viridiplantae; Streptophyta; Magnoliopsida; Poales; Poaceae.
GCGGGUGCUCAGGCAGCACAGCAGGGAGGAGAGCGCCUGGGCCAGAUCGCCGCCAUCGCCAUACUCGCACUCACCGGAGUGGUGCGUGCGAAAAUUGGCCGCCGGGCAAUUACGCGUUGACUCCAGACGGGUGAGCGGAUCGUCGUUUGGGCGAUUAGACCUUCGUGCCACCGAAAUCGCGAGCUGCAAGAAGAAUCCGCGGUCAGUUCGUCGAGCUCUGCGGGCGCCAUCAUCUCGGGUUCCUCACCGGCGAGGUAAACCCGUUUUCCCCAUCGCUUUUAGCUCUGCCCAAUCGCAAUCGUAUUCUGCGCGUGCCCGGGCGAUCGUCGGGGCCUUGCUGCUCGUCGGCGGGCGGAGCGGUAGUGAGGAGCUCGGGAUCCGCCGUGGUGUGAUUGGCGUGUUUGACGGGGUUGCGCCUCAAGCCUGUGUGCUGCUUGCUUAUUCGGGAACGCCGCUCGCGUGUGUGGUCACCGCUGGACAGACAAGGGUAUGGGCGACUGGGAAUUCGCCGUCGAGCUUCAACCAACCCUUCGUUUUGCCCUACGCCGUGGCCAGUGACCUCUGCUACCUUCCAGCGCGGGUAAGACAGUGGCCCGACUCCCAUUUCUUUCCAGGUUGCGAUAGAACCUAUUAAUUUUCAGUUCAGAAGCUCUGGGGCGUCGGUAGUGGAUCACCGGAGGGGUGGGUGCUCCGCCGUGUGUCGAUGGUGGCCGCCGGCGUGACGUCAUGUGGUGAAGACGAGCGUCGGUCGUUGAUCCUUGAUUGGACAGCGGCGAUUAGAAACAGAGUGCCGGUCCGGCCGGAUGUGGCGUAGGCCGUUCGAUCCCGAUCGAUCGGACGUGAGUGGGAUUAGGUAUUUAAAUCUGGAACGUCCAAGUUAAAUCGAAAGGCUUAGAUUGCGUACCGGUUCGCAGGGUAGUAGAUUUAAUCUGGGCCGUUCACGCUUGAUCGGACGACUGAAGACUUGUGAUACCCUUUCAGAUCGCGACUUUACGAAUAGGACCCUAUGUUUUAGGGAAACAAACCCGCAGUCCACAACAGAGGAGUUAUGAGUCAUAGGCAUUCUUGCGCAAAAGACCUUGUACUUUCCUGCAUUUGUUGCGCAGUCCAGAGACUAAGGAAAACCAUAUAAAUAAUGUCUGAAAUUGGUAUUUAACACAAAAAUAAUUCCUAGAACUUGUUUAAAUCCUAGAAAAUUCAUACUAGGUCCAAAUUAAUCCAUUCUAGUUUAUAAAAUUUUAUAAUAUUAUUGUUUAUCAUCUAGUACCACUGUUUUCACAUUAAAGUCAUAUUAGAAUUUAUAUCUUAUUAAAUCUUAUACAAAAUACAUAGAAUCUUUAGAAAUUCAUAACUCCUCCGUUUUGACUCCGAAUUGACUCGUUUCAGUUGCGUUAGUCUCGUAUGAAUAUUUACUACGCAGUAACAAUAUUUAUUAUACCAUGUCUCAUACUUUUAUAAUUAGAUAUUUAUUUAUCCUAUGUUAAUUGGAUUAAUCUAUGUCUAUUGGCUUAACUUCUGAUCUUAUGGUUAUAAUUUGACUAGAUGAUCUUUAAUCAAAUAAUGACUUAAAUUAAAGUUGAGAUAAUUAUUUAUAGAAUAACAUCCCAUAUGCUUUACAUUAACCGAUUUAUAAUAUAGUUUGACAUUUAAAUCACAUAGAUCUUUUAUAAACCAUAACUCCUUAACCAUGACUCCGAUCUUAGUAGUUCUCGAUCCACGAUCUCGUAGUAUCGCGUAGAUUAUUAUUACGUAGUUUAUUCUUAUGUUUGGUGUAAUGUUAAUUUUGUCUAUACACUGUUUGUUUGUAUUGCUGCGACUAGCGGUGAGGUCACGAGGAUCUGAAGAAUCACUCUGGUAACUGGAAUCUCAAGUGCCAGGCAAGUUGUGCCCUUG